GACGAACGCUGGCGGCGUGCUUAACACAUGCAAGUCGAACGGGAUUUCGUAAACAGAAGCCUCGGUGGAAGAUUACUAAUGAGAGUGGCGAACGGGUGAGUAACGCGUGUGCAACCUGCCUAUGACAGUGGGAUAGCCUCGGGAAACCGGGAUUAAUACCGCAUAAAAUCGUAGAAACACAUGUUUUAACGGUCAAAGAUUUAUCGGUCAUGGAUGGGCUCGCGUCUGAUUAGCUAGUUGGUGAGAUAACAGCCCACCAAGGCGACGAUCAGUAGCCGGUCUGAGAGGAUGAACGGCCACAUUGGAGCUGAGACACGGUCCAAACUCCUACGGGAGGCAGCAGUGGGGAAUAUUGCACAAUGGGGGAAACCCUGAUGCAGCGACGCCGCGUAAACGAAGAAGGUAUUCGUAACGUAAAGUUCUGUCCUAUGGGGAGAUAAUGACAGUACCAUAGAAGAAAGCACCGGCUAAAUACGUG
Molecule: ribosomal RNA, 478 nt
Filed under: uncultured bacterium
Lineage: Bacteria
Description: partial 16S ribosomal RNA
Rfam family: Bacterial small subunit ribosomal RNA
Source: RNAcentral